This 278-nucleotide long non-coding RNA is filed under the name Panax ginseng (ginseng). RNAcentral's name for it is "long non-coding RNA (PGIN_LNC015239)". Lineage: Eukaryota; Viridiplantae; Streptophyta; Magnoliopsida; Apiales; Araliaceae. The record is from RNAcentral.
UUUUUGGGUUAGUUGCAGCAGAACCUCUUUUUCCAUUUCCACAUCUGUAUAUGAAGAAGAAGUAGAGGAAGAGGAAGAGGAAGAGGAAGAGGAAGAGGAAGAGGAGAUUCGUAAACGUAAGUGAUUUCCAGUUGAUAACAAUGUUACCCACAUUUUAUCUUUAAACCUCAAUUUCUGCUGAUUUUCAAAUGGUUAUAGGAUUAAUUAAAAACUUACACAACAUUUCAAUUAAUUGCAAUAUAUCAGUCAUUAUAUAAUUGAAGCUAACUUGUGUUAAG